UAGUAGAAAGAAAGAAAGAGAAAGAAGGUAUCAACGCUGUUGAGCAUGAGAAUUAUUUUAAACAAAAAAAAUGAUAUCUCAUUAACUAUUAAUCGUAGAGAAGCCUAUAAGGGGUCAUUUUGUUCGUAAAGCGAUUUUCUAAAAAUUGUACGCAUUAUGUCUAGAUCUCGGAUUCAUAGUUUUCGAGAUAUUCUACUAUUAAGUUAAAACAACGUGCAUUCUGCUAUUAACAUAAGAAAGAAUCGAAGGUCGGAAAAGAUCGGGCAUCUUCGAAGUUUUUCGAAGCAGGUUUGAAUACGUUUAUUGUUCCUCAGUGCGUAAUUGACUGUGUUAUCAAUAGAGAGUGAUACAUUAUACAGUGACACAUAAAAGUGCGUCAUUUUGUAACGACUAAAAUGGAUUUACAAGGG
Chelonus insularis is the source of this 410-nucleotide long non-coding RNA. RefSeq lists it as uncharacterized. The transcript has 3 exons. NCBI's taxonomy places the organism in Eukaryota, Metazoa, Arthropoda, Insecta, Hymenoptera, Braconidae. The record is from RefSeq and is a predicted model, not a curated record.